This 719-nucleotide long non-coding RNA is filed under the name Lathyrus oleraceus (garden pea). RNAcentral describes it as "Pisum sativum (pea) long non-coding RNA (PSAT_LNC020328)". Lineage: Eukaryota; Viridiplantae; Streptophyta; Magnoliopsida; Fabales; Fabaceae. The record is from RNAcentral.
AUAAAAAAUAUAGAAGUUGUUUUAAGUCGUACGGUCUUCACCGCUAGACGCGUUUUUUUGGAUGACACAACUUUCUACUCUUGAUGGUUGAUUUGUGGAUCACGUAUGAUGUAUUCACAUAUGUCUGAGUGAGUCACGCGCCAAUUCAGGUAUUAUAUGCAUUUGGUUCCAAGAGACCCCUCAGAAUAUACUCCUCAUACUAUAUGAUCUCCAUAAAUGUAAAUGUCAUGUAUGAUGAUUUCCUUAAUCAUCUGGUACAGACUGAAACACGAGGUAUCGUAGCUCCCAAAGAAUGGAGUUGUGCAUUCGACUAUGUCCAAUGGUAUUUUAGAGUGUCACAUUCUUACAUGACACCAUAUGUUGAGGGAGAGUCACCUAGGUCAGCUUAUCAGGAGAUAUUAGAGAAGGGGCAGACUAGGGCAGAUCAUGUUGUUGAUGUGUUUCCUGCAUGUCAUCGUAUUAUGGAUUUUUUGGGAGAGGGUAUAGAUAGAGGAAACUUUCUGUAAGGCACUUCUGGGAGGACCAUUGUAGAUUCCAUUCUUAAUGAGACACGAAUGGCAUUAAUACAGGAGGCAUCGAAGGAACAUGAGGGUCUGACAUACAUAUUAGUAUAGUAUUUGUAUUAGCGAUUAUGGAUAGUAUUAUCGUUUGUUAUUUUAUUAUUUUGACAGUAUUAUGAAUUUUGGAUUGAUUCAUUUAUAUAUGGUAUUUUCAUCUUA